GGCGCGCGUAAGAGCGGGCGCGAGAAAGAAAAACUUAUGCAGAUCCCAGGCACUGUGGGAAUCGAUGCUAGCGAAGCUUUCCGUGCCGGAUGCUUUGAUUGACGAUAAUUAGUGGGGAUGUUGACGGCUAAAGCUUAGUUUCUUCAACGUUUAGGCUAACACGAGAGUGGCCCAUGGCAGCAUUAUGUUCUCAUGGGAGAGCUCAAAUUAUGGGUGGUGCUGAUCAGUGCAGUUUUUCAAGCAGAGGCAUAGAAUAUGUCUCCUGUUACACUGGCUUCUGAUGCUGCUGGUUUCGAGCGGAUCGCCGGCACCACAGCCGCAGCAUGAGAACUUGGACGUCAUGGAUGGAUCGUGCGAUAUUCACCUUGCCGUAUAAAGCCGGAGCCCUUGCAUGCAACUUCCAGUGGGGAAGGUGGCAUGCUGGAAGCCAUGUCAACUAAAAGUUGACUUCUGUUCCUUGAACAGGAGGGAAACAAAUGCAGGACGCAAAGAUCCAACAGCUGUGGCCACUGCUGGUGCUACCCCGACAUCUGUAAUAUAAAAUAUUGUUAGGAACAGGACGCAGACCCGGGCAAGGUCCAUCUGUUUGAAGUUUUUAAAGGGUGAGAAAUGGAAAGAAACAAAAUUUAGUUGUGCCUUUUAGCAUUCUGAAACUUUACAAUGGGUUAUGAAAGACACCAUAGUGCAGGGUUCCGGAAUAAUUUUGACCACCUGGUGUUCUUUAACAUGCACCUAAAUCUAAGCACACAAGCACUUUUCCAUUAUCCCCCUUUUAAAGUGGACCCGGCUUGCUGGUACAAGCUUGCUUCACGUUUAUUAGCGAGCUUGAGACAUCAUGAUUAAGCACUGUGUUGGCAUUUAUUGUAGUCGAAGGGUUCGUACAUUCAAGGUUUAUGAAUCUUUCUGUUGACCCAUACGGUAGUGCUCACAGCAGUCUUUCAAGCUCUGUAAAUCUGGCAUGCUAAUUAGGAAAAAGAACCAGGGCAAAAGACAUUGUGAAAACAUAGAAAAGAAGUUGAUAGGACAAGUCCUAGGCUAGCAAAUGCAGUUAAUUCAUAGAGCAGAAGGAAAGCAAUAAACGCUGAAGUGCAUACAUAUGCUGAGAGCUAAGAAUCUUAUGGAAUAAAAAAAUGAUAGGUGCAAUCGCAUCAGAUGCUGUCAGAAAAUGAGAUUUUUUUGCUUAUAAAAUGUAUUAAUCGUUUUCAAUUAAUGAACUAUACCAAUGCACAAUCUUUUUCCUGCAUAUCAUAGUCGGAUUAUAGCUACGACGGCAACUUAAGCAUAAGAACUGUAUUCUAAUUUACUGCUACAAAUGUAUGUCUAUUUUGUUGGCAUAAAAUGCUUCAUAAAUAUUUUCAA
Long non-coding RNA from Dermacentor andersoni, 1359 nucleotides. RefSeq lists it as uncharacterized. The record is from RefSeq and is a predicted model, not a curated record. Lineage: Eukaryota; Metazoa; Arthropoda; Arachnida; Ixodida; Ixodidae.